Octopus sinensis (East Asian common octopus) is the source of this 610-nucleotide long non-coding RNA. RefSeq lists it as uncharacterized. The record is from RefSeq and is a predicted model, not a curated record. Lineage: Eukaryota; Metazoa; Mollusca; Cephalopoda; Octopoda; Octopodidae. The transcript has 3 exons.
AUCAAAUUGAAAUCUAUAAUAAAACUAACGAGUAGUAUGUGUUUUUAGAGAAAUAUAUCAUAUUAAGAAAUCUGAAGCCAAUAUCUAUAAAAUUAUAAAAUAAGACUGGAAAUGUCAAAAUGUCUCUGUCUUCCUUGGAAUUGUCUCCUUUAAAGUUUUUGCUCAGAUAAUGUGGAACUAAUUAGUGAAAUACAGAACGAGAAAGGGUGCCAAAUGUCUGAAGAUUAUGACAAACCUAUCACAAAUAUGCUGCUGAUAGGAAUCAUCAACAUUGUUUCAUUUAUAUAUUUAUUUUUAUAUAUUUAUUUUUAUAGGUUUUUUUUCCUUGUCAUUGAUGAUAAAAAUGAAGAAAUUAAUGUCACAUUGAAAACGAAAUUUCCUUGGCGUUGCUGCUGACAGGAUAUCUAACUGGUUAAUUAGAAUAUUGUUGUUUCUCCAGAAUUUAUUCCCCAUUAGUAAACCAAAUGGCAUCUAUUAUAUUACUGCAGCACUGGAUUAAUUAUUGAGUAAAAUAAGCAUGUGUUUAGGGCACCAAGGAAAGUGAGGCGCCACAGAAAUGGUAAAUGGUCUACAGCACAAAAGAAAUUACUUUAAUCUUGCUAAAAUAAUA